AGCGAACGCUGGCGGCAGGCUUAACACAUGCAAGUCGAACGGGCGUAGCAAUACGUCAGUGGCAGACGGGUGAGUAACACGUGGGAACGUACCUUUUGGUUCGGAACAACUGAGGGAAACUUCAGCUAAUACCGGAUAAGCCCUUACGGGAAAGAUUUAUCGCCGAAAGAUCGGCCCGCGUCUGAUUAGCUAGUUGGUGGGGUAAGAGCCCACCAAGGCGACGAUCAGUAGCUGGUCUGAGAGGAUGAUCAGCCACAUUGGGACUGAGACACGGCCCAAACUCCUACGGGAGGCAGCAGUGGGGAAUAUUGGACAAUGGGCGAAAGCCUGAUCCAGCCAUGCCGCGUGAGUGAUGAAGGCCCUAGGGUUGUAAAGCUCUUUUAACGGGGAAGAUAAUGACGGUACCCGUAGAAUAAGCCCGGCUAACUUCGUGCCAGCAGCCGCGGUAAU
Molecule: ribosomal RNA, 450 nt
Filed under: uncultured bacterium
Lineage: Bacteria
Description: bacterial SSU rRNA
Rfam family: Bacterial small subunit ribosomal RNA
Source: RNAcentral